UGAUUUAGCAUUUGAGUGAGUGGCGAACUGGUGAGUAACACGUGGGAAACCUGCCCAGAAGCGGGGGAUAACACCUGGAAACAGAUGCUAAUACCGCAUAACAACUUGGACCGCAUGGUCCGAGUUUGAAAGAUGGCUUCGGCUAUCACUUUUGGAUGGUCCCGCGGCGUAUUAGCUAGAUGGUGGGGUAACGGCUCACCAUGGCAAUGAUACGUAGCCGACCUGAGAGGGUAAUCGGCCACAUUGGGACUGAGACACGGCCCAAACUCCUACGGGAGGCAGCAGUAGGGAAUCUUCCACAAUGGACGAAAGUCUGAUGGAGCAACGCCGCGUGAGUGAAGAAGGGUUUCGGCUCGUAAAACUCUGUUGUUAAAGAAGAACAUAUCUGAGAGUAACUGUUCAGAUAUUGACGGUAUUUAACCAGAAAGCCACGGCUAACUACGUGCCAGCAGCCGCGGUAAUACGUAGGUGGCAAGCGUUGUCCGGAUUUAUUGGGCGUAAAGCGAGCGCAGGCGGUUUUUUAAGUCUGAUGUGAAAGCCU
RNAcentral lists this ribosomal RNA (541 nucleotides) under Lactiplantibacillus plantarum. RNAcentral describes it as "bacterial SSU rRNA". It matches the Rfam family "Bacterial small subunit ribosomal RNA", at positions 76 to 603 of the family's 1533-position model. The record is from RNAcentral. Lineage: Bacteria; Bacillati; Bacillota; Bacilli; Lactobacillales; Lactobacillaceae.